UACAGAGGUCCCGAGCGUUGUUCGGAUUCACUGGGCGUAAAGCGUGCGCAGGCGGUUUCUUAAGUCAGAUGUGAAAGCCCCGGGCUUAACCUGGGAACUGCGUUUGAAACUGGGAGACUUGAGUGUGGCAGAGGGGGGUGGAAUUCCACGUGUAGCAGUGAAAUGCGCAGAUAUCAGGAGGAACACCUAUUGCGAAGGCAGCUCGCUGGGACGUUACUGACGCUGAGACGCGAAAGCGUGGGGAGCAAACAGG
RNAcentral lists this ribosomal RNA (253 nucleotides) under uncultured bacterium. Its description in RNAcentral is "partial 16S ribosomal RNA". It matches the Rfam family "Bacterial small subunit ribosomal RNA", at positions 524 to 776 of the family's 1533-position model. The record is from RNAcentral.